Molecule: ribosomal RNA, 602 nt
Filed under: uncultured bacterium
Lineage: Bacteria
Description: partial 16S ribosomal RNA
Rfam family: Bacterial small subunit ribosomal RNA
Source: RNAcentral
UGGGGAAUAUUGCACAAUGGGCGCAAGCCUGAUGCAGCCAUGCCGCGUGUGUGAAGAAGGCCUUCGGGUUGUAAAGCACUUUCAGCGAGGAGGAAGGUGGUGGACUUAAUACGUUCAUCAAUUGACGUUACUCGCAGAAGAAGCACCGGCUAACUCCGUGCCAGCAGCCGCGGUAAUACGGAGGGUGCAAAGCGUUAAUCGGAAUUACUGGGCGUAAAAGCGCACGCAGGCGGUUUGUUAAGUCAGAUGUGAAAUCCCCGGGCUCAACCUGGGAACUGCAUUUGAAAACUGGCAAGCUAGAGUCUCGUAGAGGGGGGUAGAAUUCCAGGUGUAGCGGUGAAAUGCGUAGAGAUCUGGAGGAAUACCGGUGGCGAAGGCGGCCCCCUGGACGAAGACUGACGCUCAGGUGCGAAAAGCGUGGGGAGCAAAACAGGAUUAGAUACCCUGGUAGUCCACNNCUAGUAAAACGAUGUUCGGAGUUUGGAGGUUGUGCCCCUUGAGGCGUGGCUUCCGGAGCUAACGCGUUAAAAUCGACCGCCUGGGGAGUACGGCCGCAAGGUUAAAAACUUAAAAUGAAAUUGACGGGGGUCAUAGCUGUCCUG